RNAcentral lists this ribosomal RNA (440 nucleotides) under uncultured bacterium. Its description in RNAcentral is "partial 16S ribosomal RNA". It matches the Rfam family "Bacterial small subunit ribosomal RNA", at positions 338 to 795 of the family's 1533-position model. The record is from RNAcentral.
CCUACGGGGUGCAGCAGUAGGGAAUUUUGCGCAAUGGGCGAAAGCCUGACGCAGCAACGCCGCGUGAUCGAGACGCCCUUCGGGGUGUAAAGAUCUGUCAGUGGGGACGAAACUUGACGGUACCCACAGAGGAAGCACCGGCUAACUCCGUGCCAGCAGCCGCGGUAAUACGGGGGGUGCAAGCGUUGUCCGGAAUCAUUGGGCGUAAAGAGUUCGUAGGCGGCAUGUCAAGCGUGCUGUGAAAUGUCCGGGCUCAACCCGGGCCUUGCAGCGCGAACUGGCGUGCUUGAGUCCGCGGAAAGCAGGCGGAAUUCGUCGUGUAGCGGUGAAAUGCUUAGAUAUGACGAAGAACCCCGAUUGCGAAGGCAGCUUGCUGCAGCGGAACUGACGCUGAUGCUCGAAAGCGCGGGUAUCGAACAGGAUUAGAUACCCGUGUAGUC